CGGAGAGUUUGAUCCUGGCUCAGGACGAACGCUGGCGGCAUGCCUAAUACAUGCAAGUCGAACGAACUCUGGUAUUGAUUGGUGCUUGCAUCAUGAUUUACAUUUGAGUGAGUGGCGAACUGGUGAGUAACACGUGGGAAACCUGCCCAGAAGCGGGGGAUAACACCUGGAAACAGAUGCUAAUACCGCAUAACAACUUGGACCGCAUGGUCCGAGCUUGAAAGAUGGCUUCGGCUAUCACUUUUGGAUGGUCCCGCGGCGUAUUAGCUAGAUGGUGGGGUAACGGCUCACCAUGGCAAUGAUACGUAGCCGACCUGAGAGGGUAAUCGGCCACAUUGGGACUGAGACACGGCCCAAACUCCUACGGGAGGCAGCAGUAGGGAAUCUUCCACAAUGGACGAAAGUCUGAUGGAGCAACGCCGCGUGAGUGAAGAAGGGUUUCGGCUCGUAAAACUCUGUUGUUAAAGAAGAACAUGCGUGAGAGUAACUGUUCACGUACUGACGGUAUUCAACCAGAAAGCCACGGCUAACUACGUGCCAGCAGCCGCGGUAAUACGUAGGUGGCAAGCGUUGUCCGGAUUUAUUGGGCGUAAAGAGAAUGUAGGCGGUUUAUUAAGUCUGAUGUGAAAGCCUUCGGCUCAACCGAAGAAGUGCAUCGGAAACUGGGAAACUUGAGUGCAGAAGAGGACAGUGGAACUCCAUGUGUAGCGGUGAAAUGCGUAGAUAUAUGGAAGAACACCAGUGGCGAAGGCGGCUUUCUGGUCUGUAACUGACGCUGAGAUUCGAAAGCAUGGGUAGCAAACAGGAUUAGAUACCCUGGUAGUCCAUGCCGUAAACGAUGAGUGCUAAGUGUUGG
Molecule: ribosomal RNA, 856 nt
Filed under: uncultured bacterium
Lineage: Bacteria
Description: bacterial SSU rRNA
Rfam family: Bacterial small subunit ribosomal RNA
Source: RNAcentral